Molecule: long non-coding RNA, 316 nt
Filed under: Mytilus galloprovincialis (Mediterranean mussel)
Lineage: Eukaryota; Metazoa; Mollusca; Bivalvia; Mytilida; Mytilidae
Source: RNAcentral
CUUGAAUGAAUUUUACAAAGUAUAGAGAUAAAGCCUGUUGAUAUUUUCCGUCCCAAUCUUGGUGAAAAUCUCAUCCGUGUAAAGUAUUUGUGGAUUUCAUCCACGCCGUAAGACUCCAGGGUGAAGCAACUAUUUUCACAGACGGAUUAAGACUCAAUGCUUCCUUUAUGAUAGGAAUAAAGAAUUCGCGAUCUUUUUGAAUACUGAAGUGAUUCAUCUAUAAAUCUGUUUUUCCAUUGGGUAUGUCAUUGUAUGUAUAUGCAAGGACAGCUUGAAAGUCAGAUCCACCCAUUGUUAUCCUUAUAUAUGACACGCC